This 232-nucleotide ribosomal RNA is filed under the name uncultured Galactomyces. RNAcentral's name for it is "partial 26S ribosomal RNA". RNAcentral also lists the same sequence under 1 other name. The record is from RNAcentral. Lineage: Eukaryota; Fungi; Ascomycota; Dipodascomycetes; Dipodascales; Dipodascaceae.
UAUUCCCAAACAACUCGACUCUUCGAAAGUAUCUUACAAUGAGAAUAGAUUUUACGGGGCUGUCACCCUCUAAGGCGCUGUGUUCCAACAGACUUUAAUCCGCUCUCAAGAUACAAUCUACAAAUUACAACUCGACCUGGUGGCCGAUUUCAAAUUUGAGCUUUUGCCGCUUCACUCGCCGUUACUAAGGCAAUCCCUGUUGGUUUCUUUUCCUCCGCGCUUAUUGAUAUGC